GAUGAACGCUGGCGGCGUGCCUAAUACAUGCAAGUCGAGCGAACAGACGAGGAGCUUGCUCCUCUGACGUUAGCGGCGGACGGGUGAGUAACACGUGGAUAACCUACCUAUAAGACUGGGAUAACUUCGGGAAACCGGAGCUAAUACCGGAUAACAUGUUGAACCGCAUGGUUCAACAGUGAAAGACGGUCUUGCUGUCACUUAUAGAUGGAUCCGCGCCGCAUUAGCUAGUUGGUAAGGUAACGGCUUACCAAGGCAACGAUGCGUAGCCGACCUGAGAGGGUGAUCGGCCACACUGGAACUGAGACACGGUCCAGACUCCUACGGGAGGCAGCAGUAGGGAAUCUUCCGCAAUGGGCGAAAGCCUGACGGAGCAACGCCGCGUGAGUGAAGAAGGUCUUCGGAUCGUAAAACUCUGUUAUUAGGGAAGAACAAAUGUGUAAGUAACUAUGCACGUCUUGACGGUACCUAGUCAGAAAGCCACGGCUAACUACGUG
Molecule: ribosomal RNA, 497 nt
Filed under: uncultured bacterium
Lineage: Bacteria
Description: partial 16S ribosomal RNA
Rfam family: Bacterial small subunit ribosomal RNA
Source: RNAcentral